Molecule: ribosomal RNA, 528 nt
Filed under: uncultured Fibrobacter sp.
Lineage: Bacteria; Pseudomonadati; Fibrobacterota; Fibrobacteria; Fibrobacterales; Fibrobacteraceae
Description: bacterial SSU rRNA
Rfam family: Bacterial small subunit ribosomal RNA
Source: RNAcentral
UUAAUGUCCAGGAGAGUGGCCCUCCGCAUGGAGGGUUGACUAGAGAUUUAUCGGUAUGGGAUGAGCUUGCGUCCGAUUAGCUAGUUGGCGGGGCAACGGCCCACCAAGGCGACGAUCGGUAGCCGGCCUGAGAGGGUGAUCGGCCACAUUGGGACUGAGAUACGGCCCAGACUCCUGCGGGAGGCAGCAGUAGGGAAUAUUGCACAAUGGGGGAAACCCUGAUGCAGCAACGCCACGUGUGGGAAGAAGCAUUUCGGUGUGUAAACCACUGUCAUGAGGGAAUAAGGCCCGCCUCCGGGCGGGAUUGAAUGUACCUUGAGAGGAAGCACCGGCAAACUUCGUGCCAGCAGCCGCGGUAAUACGAGGGGUGCAAGCGUUGUUCGGAAUUACUGGGCGUAAAGGGAGCGUAGGCGGAGAUUCAAGCGGAUUGUACAAUCCCGGGGCCCAACCCCGGCUCUGCAGUCCGAACUGGAUCUCUUGGAUAGUUCAGGGGCAGGCGGAAUUCCUGGNGUAUCGGUGGAAUGCGNA